CCCUUAGAUGUCCUGGGCCGCACGCGCGCUACACUGACAUGUUCAACAAGCCUCCUAGUUCGACAGGAUUUGGGAAAUCUUUGAACGCAUGUCGUGAUAGGGAUAGAUCAUUGCAAUUAUUGAUCUUGAACGAGGAAUUCCUAGUAAACGCGAGUCAUAAGCUCGCGUUGAUUACGUCCCUGCCCUUUGUACACACCGCCCGUCGCUACUACCGAUUGAACGGUUUAGUGAGGGCCUCGGAUUGGUCUCGGCCCGCUCUUUACCGGGCGGCGCCGUUGGUCGAGAAGACGCUCGAACUUGAUCGUUUAGAGGAAGUAAAAGUCGUAACA
Molecule: ribosomal RNA, 329 nt
Filed under: uncultured eukaryote
Lineage: Eukaryota
Description: partial 18S ribosomal RNA
Rfam family: Eukaryotic small subunit ribosomal RNA
Source: RNAcentral